GCCGGCGUGGUGAAACAGGUAGACGCACGGGACUCAAAAUCCCGCGGGCCGCGGGUCCGUGUCGGUUCGAUUCCGACCGCCGGCACCA
This 88-nucleotide transfer RNA is filed under the name bacterium. RNAcentral describes it as "tRNA-Leu". It matches the Rfam family "tRNA". Rfam says of the family: Transfer RNA (tRNA) molecules are approximately 80 nucleotides in length. The record is from RNAcentral.